AUUGAACGCUGGCGGCAGGCCUAACACAUGCAAGUCGAACGAGUGGCGGACGGGUGAGUAAUGUCUGGGAAACUGCCAGAUGGAGGGGGAUAACUACUGGAAACGGUAGCUAAUACCGCAUACCAUCGGAUGUGCCCAGCUGGGAUUAGCUAGUGGGUGGGGUAACGGCUAACCUAGGCGACGAUCCCUAGCUGGCCUGAGAGGAUGACGAUCCACACUGGAAUGGAAACACGGUCAAGCCUCCUACGGGAGGCAGCAGUGGGGAGUAUUGCAAAAUGGGCGCAAGCCUGAUGCAGCCAUGCCGUGUGUAUGAAGAAGGCCUUCGGGUUGUAAAGUGCUUUCAGCGAGGAGGCGUUGCUCUCAGAAGAAGCACCGGCUAACUCCGUGCCAGCAGCCGCGGUAAUAC
RNAcentral lists this ribosomal RNA (406 nucleotides) under uncultured bacterium. RNAcentral describes it as "partial 16S ribosomal RNA". It matches the Rfam family "Bacterial small subunit ribosomal RNA", at positions 30 to 526 of the family's 1533-position model. The record is from RNAcentral.